Molecule: ribosomal RNA, 493 nt
Filed under: Exophiala dermatitidis
Lineage: Eukaryota; Fungi; Ascomycota; Eurotiomycetes; Chaetothyriales; Herpotrichiellaceae
Description: partial large subunit ribosomal RNA
Rfam family: Eukaryotic large subunit ribosomal RNA
Source: RNAcentral
UAAUUUGUAGAGGAUGUUUCGGGCACCGCUCCGGUUUAAAUUUCUUGGAACAGAAUGUCAAAGAGGGUGAGAACCCCGUCUUGGACCGGCAGUAGGGCCCAUGUGAAACUCCUUCGACGAGUCGAGUUGUUUGGGAAUGCAGCUCAAAAUGGGUGGUAAAUUUCAUCUAAAGCUAAAUAUUGGCCAGAGACCGAUAGCGCACAAGUAGAGUGAUCGAAAGAUGAAAAGCACUUUGAAAAGAGAGUUAAACAGUACGUGAAAUUGUUGAAAGGGAAGCGCUUGCAACCAGACUUGCGCGCGGCGGUUCCCCCUUCCUUUUGGUUGGGUUAUUCCGCCGUGUCCAGGCCAACAUCGGUUCUGGGGGUCGGUUAAAGGCCUGGGGAAUGUAUCUACCCUUCGGGCGUAGACUUAUAGCCCCGGGUGUCAUGCGACCUCCCGGGACCGAGGAACGCGCUUCGGCUCGGAUGUUGGCGUAAUGGUUGUCAGCGACCCG